GGUGUGGGAAGUGGAGAUGUGCCAAAAUUGGACAUUUCCUACUUCACAAUUUUGCCUCCCAAAUACAAAGCAAUGCAAUCCUUCUUUAGCAUCUCUCCAAAGCAUCAAGAAAAAGUCUUUUGCAGAGGACCAUCAACAAAUGGUGCUGAAUGAAUCUUUUUUCUGAGCAAAGACUGUUAACAGACAUAUUAAUGAUAAGAAUAUAUGAAAAAACCAAGAAACAUUUUAAGAUAUUGACUUACCGAAUCUUAAAACUUAAAGGAUUGAAUUGAGAAAGUAGAUAUCAGUGUUUUCAAAACAUAAACAAGGCUGAAUUUGGAUAUUGUUGUAAAAAGCAAUAAACAAACAAAGCAAAUAUAUAUAAUAGUGUAUAUCAAUGCCUGCUAAUAAUAUGGAAACUUUGGUCCUCCAAACCAAACACUAGGAAUACUUAAGCCCAAUAUAUCAUGUUAGUAGAAAUGCAAAAUAAAGCCUAGAUUGGAUCUGAUAAGAGUUGUUGCCUUCCUUUCUAAUGAGAAGCCAGACUACAAUUAAUGAAAGCUAUGUAAAUGUGCUCCAGGCUGUUAAGAUUACAAAGAGAGUUCAGGGCUGGGGAUAAAGAACUGGGAGAAUAGGAUCCACAAUCAAUUACAGAGAAGGUCCUACUAUCUCAGACAGGCACACACAUUUUGAUAUCUCAUCAGGGAACCAAUUGCAUCCAGGCGCCUUUUGGAAGAAAGAUGUAGGAACAUGCUCCCUCCUAUUUGGGGAAUGAUACAAGGGGGCUAUUUUUGAAUGAUUAAUUAAAGGGAAUCAAUCUUCAUUGCUUUGCUACUGACGUGGAAAGCGCCAUGCCUGUGCAAUAAUCGCAUGCAAUUAUUCAACUACCCCUUUGGCAAGGACAACGUAAUUAGUCCUGGUGGUGUCGAGAGAUUCUCUUUAUUCCCAACAAAUUGGCAGUUUUAAUCAAGUGUUGCUGGAAAUUUAUCAUAACACAGGGAAAACAAUAGGUGAAGGUACAGGGCCUCAAGCUGUGUGACUCCUAUCUACAAUGGUACAAAUUUACAAUGCUAACAACAUGAUAAAUACUACCAAUCCGUGAAGGCGUUGAUUAUAAUUUCAUAUCAGCACCAAGCCUUGGCAGUUCUUAUUUGUUUAGAAACAUGGCUGUAACCCUUUUUGUGCUGCCUUGCAUUUGUUUGAUGAGGAAGGUGAGGCAAGCCCUGGGUGCUGGUGGACCGGAACUUGGAAGGCUUAAAAGCCCAGGAAACAGGGGAUACAUCCAGAAAUGCUAACCUACUCCCAUUGCAGGAGUCUGGGAGCUGCUGAUAGCAACACAGAUAAGACAAAAAGCGAAUUCACCGUGUCCUAUUUUGUGUUGUACUCAGAGGAGCUUUCUGCUGGGAUGAUUUUCCAGAUGAGGAAACUGAAGCUUGGAAAACAGAACGGUAGAGCAAGGAUCACAAACCCAGGUGGCUGCAUUCCAGGCCUGCGUGCUUAACCACCAUCCUAUUCCACCUUCUGUACUCUCUUAGGCUGAUGUGCUCAUUAUUCUUGGAGGCCUGGUGAUAAAAAGCUGGACUUUUGCUGUGAUGACGAGAAUGGAUGUGAUGGCUAGAAUACACCUUAUGUAUCAUCCAAAGUCUGUGUAGCUUUCUCCACUGAGAAAACAAAGAGAAAGAAGGAGCAAUGGUGUGGAAGUAGGUAGAGGGGAGAUCCAGGUUACCGAUGAGAUUUUCAUGAGCCUCAAUGCUUUGAGUUAAGUCGUAGAAGUCUUAUUCAUGCUUAUCUUAACUUAGGAAAUCUUAAGUAGAUAAUGGACAAGAAAAGGUUUCUGUUGGCUUUUUCAAGGUUUCAACUCGAAUCUUGUCCAAAACAAACAUUUCAUCAGAUGCAUUAAGCUCCAGGAUUAGGAUCAUACUGGAUCUCGGAGGCUUAAAUGUAAGUAGAAAAUGUGUCAAGUGAAAAGGUGGCAGUGCACACAGAAGAGGAGAGUCAGCCUGGGGAACUCAGUGAAAGAAAUGGUGCUGAUGUCAGAUUCUGGCAGGCCUGACCCCAGCAGAGCCCAGGCCCCCAGCUGGAGCUGCAGGAAUCUCUCGAUGGUGCUUCCCAUAAGGAGUUUCUCUCCUAUGUACAAGAGAAGGUCAUGCGAGCACACAGUAAGAUGGUGGCUGCAUGCAAGCCAAGAGAAGAGGCCUCAGAAUAGAAACAACCGUGCUUGGACUUCCAGCGUCCAGAACUGUGAGAAUAUUAAUUUUUGUUGUUUGAGCCCCACAGUCUAUGGUAUUUUGUUACGGCAGCCUGAGCUGACUAAAUCACAAGCCUUAGUGUUAGAUGUGGUGAAAGGAUUCAAAAUGAGUAGGACGUGGACUCUGCCCUCAAGGACCUUCCUUUCUAGAGAAGACGGAGGUGUGCACAAUUGUGCUUGGUCUACUCUGCCACCAAAUCUCUCCUGCAUCUGUUCCUUCCUGUUCUAGCCCAGGGUUCUACUCCAGGAUGGACCCCAUGUGAUUCUCCUGAACAGUAGUAAAACCCAUCCAUGAUAUCCUUCUUUCCAGGCUCCCCGUGGUCCAAUCCAUUCUCAACAUGGUCAUCUGAGGUAAUUUCUAAAACAUGGAUCUGAUCUAACUGCUCCUCUGGGUAAAAGCCACUAGUGUUUCUUUAUUUUCUAUAAAAUGAAGUGCAAGCUCCACAGCAUCACAGAGUUCUCUUCUAGCCUCACUGACUACCUCUGCCUGCUUGCUACCCAUUCCUCUUUCUCUAUGAAUCCUAUGCUCAAGCAAUACCACCUGUUGUGGGUUGGAUUGUGUCUCCCAAAAAAGAUAUGCUAGAGUCCUAAUCCCCGGUACUUCAGAAUGUGACCUUAUUUGAAAAUAUGUUUCUUGUUUGUUUGUGAGGAAGAUCAGCCCUGUGCUAACAUCUGCCAAUCUUCCUCUUUUUUUUACUGAGGAAGACUGGCCCUGGGCUAACAUCCAUGCCCAUCUUCCUCUACUUUAUAUGGGAGGCCGCCACAGCAUGGCUUGCCAAGCAGGGCGUCAGUGCGAGCCAGGGAUCCGAACCGGCGAACCCAGGGCCGCUGCAGCGGAGUGCGCACACUUAACCGCUUGCGCCACCGGGCUGGCCCCUGAAAAUAUGUUUUUUACAAGUUAAAAUGAGGUCUAGGGAUGGGCCCUGAUCCAAUAUAACUGGUGUCCUUAUAAAAAGGGGAAAUUUAGACAUAGAGACAGACAUACACAGAGGGAAUAUGAUGUGAAGAGACACAGGGAGAACAUGAGAAGAUGUCAGAUUGGAGUGAAUCAUCUACAAGCUAAGGAACACCAGCAAAACCACCAGAAUCUAGGAAGAGGCAAGGAGGGAUUUCCCUAUAGGUUUCAGAGGGAGUCAGCCCUCCUGCUGACACCUUGAUUUUGGACUUCUAGCCUGCAGAGUCGUCCGACGAUAUAUUUCUGUCGUUCUAAGCCACUCAGUUUGUGGUUCUUUGUUCCGGCGGCCUUAGGAAAUUAAUGUACCACUUUGAUCCUUUUUUUUCUUGAAUGUGUCAUGCCAUUUCAUGUCAUCUGAUUUUGCUCAUGCCAUUAUCUUGAUCUGCAAUGUUCUACUCUCCACUCUCUCUAUUGACUCUUACUCCAAGUCCUAGCAAGAACUCUGGGAAACCUUCCCUGAGCAUGUAACCUCCAGGCAGAAUAAAUUGUUCCUCCAUCUGUGCUCACAUGGAAAUUUGUUUGUACCUCUACUCCAGUAUUAUCAUGUGCUAUUGUUUUCAGUCAUUCAACACCUAACGAAUAUUGCAAAUAUUUGGGGGGCCUGUAAAGUGUGUAGCCCAGUGCUAAGUGUUUGUGUAUACUAUAACUUUCACGGAAACUCUGCGUGAAGCAGGUUUUAUUAGUAGUCCUGUUACAGAUGGGGAAACUUAAUGUUAAAAGACUUAGGUAAGUUGUGCAAGAUCAUGUAUCUAGUAAACAUCA
Long non-coding RNA from Diceros bicornis minor, 3944 nucleotides. RefSeq lists it as uncharacterized. The transcript has 5 exons. The record is from RefSeq and is a predicted model, not a curated record. Lineage: Eukaryota; Metazoa; Chordata; Mammalia; Perissodactyla; Rhinocerotidae.